CAACCCUAAACGCUGGGUAGGGGUCCUAACAGAUGAGAAAACGGAGACUGGGAGAAGUGACCGCUGGGUUACCCAGUUAGUACCUAGAAGAGCGACGAUUCCGCCCUAAAUGUGACUCCUUCAGCUCCUAAGAAGAAUUCAAGGAGAAAGCUAUGAGAAGAAAGGAUUUAUUUGUUCUGUUGUUUUACAGGCAAGCACAAGCGCUGGAGAGGAGAGGACAGCAGCACAGGUGGAAACAAUGGAGAAGCAAAAAGUGAAGUGAGGGCAAGAGCCGAGAAGAAAAGAACCCGGGGGAUGUAAAGCAAAAAAAGAUUUAGAAACUCUUCGAGUUCGGCGAGGGCUGGGAGACCUAAAAACUAUUUCAAGAAAGAAAACGGAAGGAAAGAGGCAAGGGCCUGCGGGCGAGAGGCCCCACCCCUAACCGCUCGGGCAGACAGCCCCUCCCCCGAGGGGAGGAGGGACUUCCUCCCUGCGGGCAGCUGCUUCCGGUGGAGUCCGGAAGACGCUACCGGGAAGGGACUAAGACUGCGCAGCCAAUCGGGGCGACACUUUCGUCUUACCGGAGGACUCGUGGGUAACUUGCUCUUGGGAACCAGCACCAUGGCGUCUGGCUGCAAGAUUGGCCCGUCCAUCCUUAACAGCGAUUUGGCCAAUUUAGGGGCUGAGUGCCUCCGGAUGCUGGACUCUGGGGCCGAUUAUUUGCACCUGGAUGCACCCUGCUCUUCAGGGAGGUCAGUUUUUUUGCAUUUUGUUCCCAACAUCACCUUUGGGCACCCUGUGGUAGAAAGCCUCCGAAAGCAGCUAGGCCAGGACCCUUUCUUUGAUAUGCACAUGAUGGUGUCCAGGCCGGAACAGUGGGUAAAACCAAUGGCUGUAGCAGGAGCCAAUCAAUAUACCUUUCAUCUUGAGGCUACUGAGAACCCUGGGGCUUUGAUAAAAGACAUUCGGGAGAAUGGGAUGAAGGUUGGCCUUGCCAUCAAACCAGGAACUACAGUUGAGUAUUUGGCACCAUGGGCGAAUCAGAUAGAUAUGGCCUUGGUUAUGACAGUGGAACCUGGGUUUGGAGGGCAGAAAUUCAUGGAAGAUAUGAUGCCAAAGGUUCAUUGGUUGAGGACCCAGUUCCCGUCCUUGGACAUAGAGGUCGAUGGUGGAGUAGGUCCUGACACUAUCCAUAAAUGUGCAGAGGCAGGAGCUAACAUGAUUGUGUCUGGCAGUGCCAUUAUGAGGAGUGAUGACCCCAGAUCUGUGAUCAACCUGUUAAGAAAUGUUUGCUCAGAAGCUGCUCAGAAACGUUCUCUUGAUCGAUGAAACCGUGAGGAGUCCAGUGUUUAUGCUCAUGAAAUCUUUCUCCUGGAAAACAAGAAUAUCGACUACCAAAACAUACCACAGUUGAAGCAGGGCUGUUUCUCUGAGCGGCUGUUCAUUCCAGUGACUAAAAUCUAUCCUGCAGAAUGUUCCAAGAGGUUAGAAAUUGCAGAACCAGAUGGCUGAGGAUAUUCUGGACGUUAUGGAUUUUGACCCCAAGGAUAUAUAUUAUAUUAAUCCAACAAAGACCAGGUAGGCUAAAAGAUGAUAAGGUAGAGUUAAUCCAUAAAUAUUUAAAGUUGUGUCCCAAAUUAUACUUUGACAACAAAUAUGUAUCUGCCACUUGCAAAUAGUCUUGAUAUAUGGCAAGAAAUAACAGGACCUAAACUUUAGGCUACUAUGAGUUUUGAGAAAUAAAAAGUUUGAAAAAUAAGAACAUUAACACUUCUGCAUAGAAUAGAGCUUGCUUGUUUUUUUCCUAUACUACAGUGUAAAAAUUUGUUUUUGACUUAGGAAAGGUUUGUGCCAUGAACAGGUGCCGUUUAAUCAAAUCAGACAACACGAGGCAUAUAGAAAUAACUUUAAUUAAAAAACUUACAUAGAAGAUUAUAAUGUCAGACAUGACAAAAAGAUUUGAGCUUAUUUGCCUAGACAACUUGGGUUUGUCUGGCUUUUGUUUUCUUUUUAAAAAAUAAAUGUACAGUAAAACUACAAGCAAAAAUUUGUCAGUUUUGAAUUUGAAUUUUUUUCCUUCUUUAAAGGGACUAGUAGAAUUCCCCAUCCCUAGCAAAAACUUGGUGUCAGUCCCCCAGACUAGGCCAGGUGGCCAGGAUUGUCAGUUAUAUGGGGACUAUAACUUGAAUAACCUUUUUUUUUACAUGAGAGAAAGCGAUUCAUAAAUUGUCCUCAACUUUUAUAUAGAAAAAAUUAUGUAAUAGCUUCAAGAAGUUUCUUUAAUGUAUACUGUAUUCAGUACUGAAGCACUAUCCUUUAAAAAAAUUUCUCACUCUAGCAUACACAUGAGAAUAGAUUGGAUAGAGUAAGCUAAUGGUAAGGAAUGACCAAAUUAACUAGAAAUACAACAUUUUUUACUUUCCUAUUUGUUGCUCAUUUUCACUUGGGGUCUUCUCUUCAUGAGAUACAUAGGAUAGAUAAAACUCAAGUUUUAAAAUUAGACCAGUAUUUAACUCUGCUUUGCUUGUCUUAAUCCGUUAGGAGUGAAUAGAAGAUGAUCUGAAUUUAGUCCAACAGAUAACAGUGAUUUCAAAUAAAGGCAUAUUGUGUUAUCUGGUAUAGAAAUUUCCACAUAUAACUUCUAUUGGUUAAACAUGUUUAAAAUCUCCAUAAUCACUGGGAACCUGUGCUUUACAGUGCAGCUUACAUUCCAUGGGAUAAUUCAUCCAUGCAUUUCAAGUGGAGUGGUCACUGCCAGUGUUUUUUAAAACUACGUGUGUGUACAUGUAUGUGUAUAUACUCUAUACACACAUAUUUGUAUAUUCCCAUAUACAAAGGCAUAUAUUUGAGGCAACUUUAAUGAAUUACCAUAGAAAUUACAUAGAAAUGUAUAGGAAAAAGAGCGAUCAUUGAUGCACAGGUGUUUCUGUGUGUGUACAUAUGUAUGUGUGGGUAUGAAGUCUUUUAAAAAUUAUUUACCCAGUAAUACGAUUUAACAUCAGCUUGCAGCAGUUAAUUUUCUGGUGCUUGUGAUUUGCAUCAUAAACACAAACGACUAGCACUUGUCUGUAGGUGAAAAGCUAGUUAUUCCUGUGGUUCAAGGAAAAAGAGACCUACCUUGCCUGUUUUAAAACAGCAUAAAAGAUUAAUACAUGCAGUACAUGCUCUUACUCUGGGAUUGUGGCUGAGGGGGUGGGGGAUGGAGAACAGGGCUUAUUUUUUCCUCCUGCUUUCCAUUCAGUUACAUACUUUUUUAACCUUUCCCUGUCACCUGUUUUUUUUAACAUGAGUAAGUCCUAGACCAAAAGGUUUGCCUUCUUCCAUUUCAUCCAUCUGCCUUUUUGGAUGGUGACCGUUUUCUGGUGCACUAGUACAGAAGACUUCUCCACGGAAAACGGGGCUUGAACUUUCACUAUGAUCCUUUUUUUCAUCUUGACAUAGUAAGGCUUCUGUGUCUUCAUCCUUCAGCGGAAAAGUCCGUCGUUCCCACCACAAAGACUGAAAGAAAGCGAAAACCUUUUCAGUUAAGUUUCAACUAAUUUGUUUAAAGUUCAUGUAUCCAAUAAUCCUUAAAUGUCAAUUGUGUAAUUAUUGUUUGGUCCUUCAGCACGUCAAUGUACACAUUUUCAUUUGGGCCUAAAGAUCUAGCAACUCCAGUGGAACAUACUGGCAAUUGUUUAGAGACCUUUGGGAACUAUCCUUUCACUUCACCCUCCCACAAAGAGGAAACGCCGCUAUAAGGCACGGGUCUUCCUUAUCAGCACAGGAGCGCUUUGGGAAAAGCCCCUUUAAAGGUGUUUGAUCUACUUGAGUGUCUCCGUUUUCAUCCCAUAACUAUCACAGACACCUACUGACUUUUCCUUCCCUGAGCUUUCUACGACUUGCCUAUUAAUUUUUAUAGUUUCUGCUCUGUGUUCUAGAUACAGUUCUUUUUCAACACCUACUUAUGAAGAACAGUGCAAAAAUUUAUAGAUGGUGUGUUAGAAAUCAUUCCCUGGGAGGUAAGAACUGGAUCCACGGGGAGACAGGUAAAAAUCUGUUAUGAAGGGAAGAGAACUAGCUGACAUUUGCUGUGUGCCAGGUGCUGUUCUCUCUAAUCAGAUUGGUGUCAUCAUGAAACUUGGAUAGAAUCCCCAUUUCCUAACAGAUAAGUGAGUAGGUGGAGUUAGGUACUGACAUGUUCUACAAAAAGAUAAGGUGUGUAUGAUCAGUGACAGAACUAGAAAGUUGGCAUACAUAUCCUCUGAUCUGUACCCAGCAAUUAACAGUGGAUUGUUAUGCUGAAUUUGUUAAUUGGCAACCAGCAGGUUUCUACAAACAGGUUUUCAAAAGGGUAAAAGGCAUUGAAAAAGAGGUGUCACAGGUCAUGUAUAUCAUCUCAUACUUACCUUGAGUUCUUGACUUUGAUUUAAGGAAGGUGAGCCCCGUGUGCCCAGAUUCUGGCUCUGCGGAGAAGGCUCGGCAGGACUCUCGGCAGCACAGUGCUGACCACCACCAAGGUCGUUAGGGUAUUCUUUCAAGAGCAAGUCCUGUCCUUCAACGUUUCUACUGUAAGCUCUAGCAAGAAAAUCAAGAAAAUAUUUAAUUACUAUUUCUUGAGGUCUUAACGUUUUAUGAACGACCCCUAAGUCCAUUUAACUUGGUAGCUUUUCUUUAAACAGUUCUGCCCAAAAGAUUUCUAAAAAUUCAUCUGUCAAUCUUCCUGAUGCUUUCUCAAAGACUUAAACAGUAUGUUAUGAAUACUAUUUUAUGAAACUGCCAAAUUAUAAUAGUGGGUUUCGGGUUUUCAAGGAGGGAGUUUUUGUUGUCUUAUUUUUAAAUAAGAAAGGACAGUUACUUGACCCUUACAGUCUUUCAGAGUUCCCAGAGUAUUCUAAGACUAUUAUAAUGUCAUCCAUGUAAGACUCGAUUCACAUUUUCCUCUGUACUUCUAGAAAAUUAUAUCUCUGGAAUGUGGAGAAAGAAGACAAUUGAGUCUUAUAUGUGUGUUAAGAUAACUCUUGGAAUAAGGAUCUACAAGAAAUCUGGGUAUUUUCAGACCUAAAGAGAGAAAUGUGUUUUCAAAAUACAGUUGAGGGGCACCUGGCUGGCUUAGUAGAGCAUGUAACUCUUGAUCUCGGGGUUGUGAGUUCGAGCCCCACAUUGGGUGUAGCGAUUACUUAAAUAAAAGUACAGCUGACCCUUGAUGAACACAGGAGUUGGGAGCACCAACCACUUUGUGCAUUCAAAAAUUCACAUAUAACUUUUGACUCCCUCAAAACUUAACUAUUAAUAGCUGACUGUUGACCAGGAAACCUUACCAGUAAUAUAAACCAGUCAAGUCACACAUUUUGUAUAUGUAUUAUAUACUGUAUUCUUACAGUAAAGUAAGCUAGAAAAAUGAAAUUUAUUAAAAUCGUAAGGAAGAGAAAAUACAUUUAUAGUACUGUACUAUUAAAAAUCUGUGUGUAAGUGGGCCCACAUAGUUCAGACCACAAAGUUCAAACCUGUGUUUGAGGGUCAACUGUACUAAGUAAAUGAGAGGUGCCCCCACACUAAAUAUAGUGACUACCCAGACUUCAUGAUCUUCCUUUCUGAGUUUCGGCUGUAUUAAAACACAGUGAAAUGUAAAUAUAAAAUACCGUGGACUUUCUCAAAUAUAUAAUUACUAAUUACGUUCUCAGGAUUUAAUCCUCCCUCCCCAAAAAUCAUAUUCAAAGUAUUUUAGACCAGGUGCUUUUUGUCUUUUAAUUUUUUAAAUGUUUACUUAUUUUGAGAGAGAGAGGCAGAAUACGAGCAGGGGAAGGGCAGAGAGAAAGGGAGACAUGGAAUCCAAAGCAGGCUCUGAGCUGUCAGCACAGAGCCUGACGCAGGGCUGGAACCCAUGAACCUUGAGAUCAUGACCUGAGCUGCACUCAGUCACUUAACCGAUUGAGCCACCCAGGUGCCCUAGACCAUCUGCUUCUUAGACUGGACAGGUUUUUUUGAGAAAAUUUUUUAAGAAAAAAUAAUGUAUUUUUUAAGUGGGCAUGUUAAAAUCGAUCAUCAAGAUUCUAAUCCCUAGUGUAAGGUCUGCUAUUACAGUACAAUGAGAUGACCUACUUUAGGGAGAAUUUUCACAUUAUUUGCUGAGUUAAAUCUGUUCCUCAGGCUGACAAUAAGCAUGAGAAAUGAGAGUGGAGGAAAAUACAGAAACUCAUUUCAUUACUCUGUAAUUAGCCAAAAUGUAUAUAUAUAUUUAUUUUGACAGACAGCACGAGUGGGGGAGGGAGACAGAAUCCCAAGGAGGCUUUGCGCUAUCAGUGUGGACCCCAAUGCGGAGCUCAAUCUCACAAACCUGUGAGAUCAUGACUUGAGCCAAAAUCAAAAGAGCUGGACGCUUAACUGAGCCAUCCAGGAGCCCCAGCCAAAAUAUAUUUUGAAUGUAAGCUCAGUAAAUGCAGUGUUUCCCUCCUGUGCACAAAUAACUGAUGUUAUACAGUAUAUACUUUUUCCUUUCUAGUGUCUUCCUCAAUAUUCAUGCAGAAUUUUGUUAAUUCUACAUGGAUUUCAUGGUUUUGGCUUUUAAAUUGAUAACACCUGCCUGCUGUUUCUUCUGUGCCACUUGCUUUGCUCCCAUAGUGACCAUCUGGCUUGCUCUCUCUCUUCAUAUUUUUUGUGUCUUAGGGAGAAGACUUCAUCAGAAAGAUCUUCUACCUGGAAUUAGAAAGUUUUUCUUUUAUCAGAAACAUUUUGAAAUAGAACAAUUUCUCAUCAAGAGAAUAUAGGAAGAAAACUCUAAAAUUGAACUUCAAAUUCGAAAAUAGAGGGAGUGAACUUUUUUUUUUUUUUUAAACUUUUUUACUUCUGGGUCAUAUUUGAAGACUUAACCUAGAUUACAGAUAGGUUCACAGUGCUUUGUAUAAAAAAUUCUUAAUGCUUAAUUCAUUCAAAGGUUUGUAUUUGAUUGCCCUUUAUGGAAUACACUGUUCUCUUAACAUGUUAAUAUCAAAGAAAAGUAAAACUGAAAAAAAAGAAAAUUAUUUUAACUAAUGACUUAUCAGAGGUUCUAAGACUCUGGUGGUAGUGGUUUAAGAAUUUGGGUUUCCUGGCCAGAACCAUUCUGAACUAGGGAAGAGUGCAUUGAAAAGUUGACUUGGUAGCUGAAGAACAGUCAGUGGGCCUAGAAAGAUUAUGACAGAGACAAAAUGUCUUACAUAAUACAGCUUCUACAGAUCAUCACUUUCAAAUUAAUUUGGUUACACAUUUUUCCCUGAAAUUAUGCUUGUCUUAAUAGAAGUUUUACCCAUACAGGCUCACAGUCCCUUUCCUUCAGUUCUAAAAAUCUGAAAAAACACGUGUUCAUAAUUCAUUUGGUGACAUAGCCCGUUCUGGAAUGAUGAGGUUAUUCCAAUUUCUAUAAAUAUUUCCCUACAGAAACAUUAAUAUUUGAUUAUGAGAACUAUGCUAGACUCCACAUAUGUCUUCUUUCUUAAGUCCAAAGUUUUCCAAAUUCAAAAGCAACCUGUUCCCAAGGUUUUGAAUAUGGCAUUGUAGGGUUGAAUAUUAAGACCACAUCUCCUUAAACAGAAAAACAGGACUAAUAACUGGAAAUGAAUAUAGAUAUUAACAUAAAUUCAGUGUUUCAACAGUUCAUGUAAGCAACUGACAUGUUUUUCUUUAUAUGUUACUGUCUUUGCAAAUCUAAAUUUGCACAAAAACAUUUUCCUAAUGAAGUUAAUAUCCUUAAUGAACUUUCUUUUCCUAAGUGAAAAACAAGUCAAUGUAUGCUAAAGGGCUUAUAUUUCCCUUGAGUUCCUCAAGUCCCAAAUUAAGCAGGCUUCGUAAUGUAUACAGUGCAGUUAUCCGUAAGUGAAAGGCAACUUACCUCUUCACCUACGUCAUAUUCAUCCAGAGGCUGAAGAACAGCCAUUCUCCAGCUGUUGAAGAUACAAACCAGUUUCAGCUUAUGUUAAUCUAAGUGUAGCAGUUGUAUUCUCUAAGCACAGCUAAUGCAGUAGUGUUUUCUUUCCUUGGGACUUUCACAAUUCAAAUGGUUGUAUUUUCAUACUUUAUUUUUUUAAAGAGAAAAAUUUCUAUUAUGAAAAGAAGAUGAGACUUUACUUUUGGCCUUACAGUGAAUAACUGUCUCUUCUGUGUAGCUGCAUUUUAUACCUAAGAAUAUACUAAUUUUGAAUUAAGUCAAUAGAUGGUGAUACAGUGGCAGGAAGAAAAAACAAAAACAAAAAAUCCCUCACUUGAGCAUUUGCCAAUUUCUUUGUGUGAAGACACCCGGCAUGGCCUCUUGAGUUUAACCACUGGAUCACAGAAUUCCUCUAUUUAAACAACCAACCCAGCCAGCCAGCCAGCUGCAGCCUACCAAUGUCAAUUGAAAAAACAUCGUUGCUGCAGAACAUCAUAACUACAAAUGGUACUCUGCUUCUGCAGAAUGUCUCAAGUUCUCUGUGGGAUUUCUCAUAAUACCUCCUAGAAUAUUAAGAGUUCUUAAUACCUCAAAGCAAUUAGGAAUAAGAGAAUUCGAAAUCAGCUAAUAUAGAGAGGGGUAGGAAUUACUGUAGUUGUCACUGAGCUUAUGUCUGUUUCCACCCUCUUCUGUCUACUUUCUGGUGCCAGAUUCACAUUCUGAAGAAACUGCUUUCAUCAUUGCUAAAAAACAAAACAAAGCAAGACUUUGACUAACUUCACUGCCACUAGGAAGCAGAUCUGUGUAUGGCAUUCAGGGACCUCCAUAAUCCGGUUCUAUUUCUUUUGUAGCCAUAACUUUAUCACCCUAUACAAAAACUUGGUCUCUAGUUUAGGCUUGCACACUUACCUGUGUGCCUUUGCUGUGGUUUCCCUGUGUGAAUAAACUUUCUUCUUUUUCCCUCCUUCGUGAUGCCCCACUAAUAUAAUGUAUGUAUUGCUGACUUGGCAAUACAUCAGAAUCUUAUUUUUGUGGUCAUAGGUGUUAUUGUCUUGCAGUGAAUACCCCUUGCAAAGGUAGUUGCUUUCUUUGAACCCUUUUUGCAGUCAUUUACAGAACUGCAUGUUAAAGAGCCAGGGUUAUUUAUUACUAAGCUUAUUUACAUCCCUAAAUAGCCUUUAGUGCCAUAUAUACAUAAAAGGUAACU
This is an RNA transcript of Panthera uncia (snow leopard), 9068 nucleotides long. It is a transcript of the gene named ribulose-5-phosphate-3-epimerase, with no coding region annotated. Lineage: Eukaryota; Metazoa; Chordata; Mammalia; Carnivora; Felidae. The record is from RefSeq and is a predicted model, not a curated record. The transcript has 8 exons.